This 752-nucleotide ribosomal RNA is filed under the name uncultured Thermoplasmatales archaeon. Its description in RNAcentral is "bacterial SSU rRNA". It matches the Rfam family "Archaeal small subunit ribosomal RNA", at positions 167 to 921 of the family's 1478-position model. The record is from RNAcentral. Lineage: Archaea; Methanobacteriati; Thermoplasmatota; Thermoplasmata; Thermoplasmatales.
AAGUUUGAAUACUCAGAUGCUGAAAGCGUGAGCGCCAGAGGGUGAGUCUGCGGCCUAUCAGGUAGUAGGUGGUGUAAUGGACCACCUAGCCUAAGACGGGUACGGGCCUUGAGAGAGGAAGCCCGGAGAUGGAUUCUGAGACACGAAUCCAGGCCCUACGGGGCGCAGCAGGCGCGAAACCUUCACACUGCGCGUAAGCGCGAUGAGGGGAGACCGAGUGCCUUCUCUUUACGGGAAGGCUUUUCACAAGCCUAAAAAGCUUGUGGAAUAAGGGCUGGGCAAGACGGGUGCCAGCCGCCGCGGUAAUACCCGCAGCUCAAGUGGUGGUCGCUAUUAUUGAGCCUAAAACGUCCGUAGUCGGCUUUGUAAAUCCCUGGGUAAAUCGGGUUGCUUAACGAUCCGAUCCCUAGGGAGACUGCAAAGCUUGGGACCGGGCGAGGUUAGAGGUACUCUCGGGGUAGGGGUGAAAUCCUGUAAUCCCGAGGGGACCACCUGUGGCGAAAGCGUCUAACUUGAACGGCUCCGACGAUGAGGGACGAAGGCUAGGGGAGCAAACCGGAUUAGAUACCCGGGUAGUCCUAGCUGUAAACACUGCCCGCUUGGUGUGGCCUGUCCUCCGGGGGCAGGCCGUGCCGGAGCGAAGGUGUUAAGCGGGCUGCUUGGGGAGUACGGCCGCAAGGUUGAAACUUAAAGGAAUUGGCGGGGGAGCACCGCAACGGGAGGAUGCGUGCGGUUUAAUGGAUCAACGCCGG